UACGUAGGGUGCGAGCGUUGUCCGGAAUUAUUGGGCGUAAAGAGCUCGUAGGCGGUCUGUCGCGUCGAUCGUGAAAACUUGGGGCUUAACCCUGAGCUUGCGGUCGAUACGGGCAUGACUGGAGUUCGGCAGGGGAGACUGGAGUUCCUGGUGUAGCGGUGAAAUGCGCAGAUAUCAGGAGGAACACCGGUGGCGAAGGCGGGUCUCUGGGCCGAUACUGACGCUGAGGAGCGAAAGCGUGGGGAGCGAACAGG
Molecule: ribosomal RNA, 254 nt
Filed under: uncultured bacterium
Lineage: Bacteria
Description: partial 16S ribosomal RNA
Rfam family: Bacterial small subunit ribosomal RNA
Source: RNAcentral